RNAcentral lists this long non-coding RNA (2342 nucleotides) under Homo sapiens (human). RNAcentral's name for it is "HSALNT0068522". Lineage: Eukaryota; Metazoa; Chordata; Mammalia; Primates; Hominidae. The record is from RNAcentral.
AUACAUUCACAUUGUUGUACAACCAUCACCACCAUCUACCCAAACACAGUCCCCAACCACCAAACACCCCACACACUAGCCUAUAAGGGCCCCAGGGUCAGCGGCCUCAUGGAAGGAAGAGAACGCUGGCGGAAUGAGGGAAUGAAUGAUGCCCUUGAUUGCCUUUCCACUUACAACACGGUAGGUGAUACGGCGUCCACAGCUGCAGCACGGUCACCAUAAACAAGCAUUUCCCCAGCUGGGCCAUGGCCCGUGGAAACCCUGCUUCUCCCUCCAGGUUCCUGUGGACUCCAGCUUCUGGGAAGGUAAGGCUUCCUCCCUUGGGAAGCAUUUUGAGUGUUUUGGCCUGUGUCCUUUCAGGAAGCCCCGUAGCCAACACACACCCCAGGGCAGGAAGUGGGUGAGAACAACUUAGACCUUGGACAGAAAGCAAUUCGGAAACUGGCUCAGCCUCUUCUCGUUGCUGGCACGGCAAGCAGUGUUAAGUGUGAGCAAUUUUUUGUUUUGUUUUGAAUUUGAAUGGUUCCUUUUUCUCCUUCACGAGGAGGCCAUGGUUUCUGAGAGUGGGGCUUGCAUGUGGCAAAGAAUAAGGAUGGCAAGAAGGGCGGAAGCACCCCUGAGCACUGCAGCUGCUACUUCCAGUGCACUCUCUGUUUACAACCGCCCUGGGAGAUGAGAAGAAAACCUCCAGAUUAUACUUGAAACGCUGAGGCUGGAAGAGGUAGACAAGAUGUGGCGAAGUCACACAGCUGCCAACUGAUGGGCUGGCCUGCUGGAUCCCAGAGCCAACAUUCUUUGUGGUAGGGGAGGUGUCUAAACCAUCUUUUUUUGCUGGGGACAUGCAAAUACAUGGAAACUCACAACGGCUGUGUACUUCUCACAAACUUUCAAAAGGUGUUUUGUGAAUUGAGCUAAAUUCACUGCUGUGCAGGAGAUGUGAGGCCCUAAACAUGGUAUAAAAUUCUGUAACGGACACUUUACAAAAGAAGAAGGAAAGGGAAAAAAGCAGAUUGAGAAAUGCCACAUACGUUUCCAGGCGGGGACAUAGAUUUCAUGCCGUUACACAGCUUUCCUAACUCCAUUUCACCUAGCUGGAGCUUUGGACUCUUACGUAAAGUUCCUUAUUCAUUUGUUCAGCAGAGAUUUAUUAAGCAGCCACUGCGUCUCUUGCAACUACAGAAUCAGUCUUUUGAAAAAUGAACCAGAAAAUGUAUGGAAACUAAUCCUGCCUUUCUCACCAAACACACUGUAGGGAUAACCUCUCUCAUACGUGGGCGUCAAAUGUUUACAAAACUUGUGCCUUCCAUCUGUCACUUUCCUGCUGGCCGCUGGGCCUCCGGACACACAGUUCCCCUGCCUGCAGCACUCCAAAAAUAUUCUAUGCGCUCCCCUCCCUACAAAUAUUUGAUGAAGGAAUAGCAGAAAGAACACAUUCUUUCCAUGGUUUAUAUAAGCACCACACUCCUGCCAGGGCUAUCUGUCUCAGCUUUUUCCUUUUCACGAUGAAUCGUACCACAGUUUGUGCCUGAUGCUCUGCAGAAAUUGAUCUUAACACUUAAAAACAACUUUGCCUGUUGGGUACAUGUCAGAUGUUUUACAGAGUAAUCUUCACAUUUUCCUGCUUGAGCGAUAUAUUCAGACAUCCCCACACUCAUUCAGCUGAUGGGAAUGUUGGUCUCAGCCCUUGAACAAAUCAAUCAGGUAGGCUGGAGGGGCAUCCUGGAUUCUUCUCCAGGCUCCAUCGUCAGACACUGGUUCAAAAUGAAUGUUCAUGGCAGCCUGGUCAUAGAAGUCCUGGGGUAAUGUCAGUAGCACUUGAUUUACUGGGCUUUUCCCUGCUGGGAUCUGCUCCCGGCCACUCCACUGGCCAUCAACGACUUCCUUUGAAUGGUGCUAACAAUGCAUUUUCACGGUUAGAUGUAGAUUUUGUUCUGGAGUCCCAGAAGUACCUCCCUGAUGUCUGGAAACCUGUGCCCCAUGGAUUGGCUCCAAUGGGGAGGUAUUUUAGAGGAAUGUGGAGCCCUGCAGGCCUUGGCUCGCUAUGCUUGGUCCAGCCACUUACCAGCAACAGAACUUCAGAACCACGUUGCUUCAUAGCAUCAUGAAGUUUUUAAGCACCACACACCUUUUCCUUUUCAUUUUAUCCCCAGCACCUGGCAGUGCCUGUUUCAUAGUCUGCAUGUACAUUCAUUGAAGACAUGAAUCUGUGAAUCAACUUCUUAGCCUUAUUCUCACAUAUUAUAAUGGAAAAAUAAUCUUUCUAGCUUGAGUAAAUGAUUAAGAAGAUGUUUGCAACAUGCUUAAUUAUAGAGCUCGACACAUAGUAAUUGCUCAGUGAGUGG